AAGUUUUUAAGGAUUGAAAAGAGAGAUUUAAUGAGAGUUUAAGUUGGAGAUUUAAUGAUUUAAGUUAGAAAUUAAUGAGUUUAAAUUGGUUUUAGAAAGAAAAAAAAAAGGUUUGGUUGUUGUUCUGGUAAUGACGAGAGACAUGAGGAAGAAGAAAUUGGUUGAGUCUUUCUCCCCUGCCACGUGUCAGGAAGGGGGUGGUUGUUUUUAAAAAAUAAAAUACAAAAUAAAAAAGGAAAGAAGAAGAAGAA
This 251-nucleotide long non-coding RNA is filed under the name Lathyrus oleraceus (garden pea). RNAcentral's name for it is "Pisum sativum (pea) long non-coding RNA (PSAT_LNC031170)". Lineage: Eukaryota; Viridiplantae; Streptophyta; Magnoliopsida; Fabales; Fabaceae. The record is from RNAcentral.